Long non-coding RNA from Ailuropoda melanoleuca (giant panda), 631 nucleotides. RefSeq lists it as uncharacterized. The transcript is spliced from 5 exons. Lineage: Eukaryota; Metazoa; Chordata; Mammalia; Carnivora; Ursidae. The record is from RefSeq and is a predicted model, not a curated record.
GCCUACGACAUUAGCCUACGCCUUCUCCUCAGGUAGGCGUUUUAUCUUUUCACAUCAUCACAAGAAGGGAUUUCCUUUGGCACACAGGCAUCGACUGAAGCAUGGGUCCCCCAGAACUGAUGCCAGCUCACUGGGUUUACUCACAAAACCAGGUUAUAUUUGCAGAUUCUUGGGAAACUGUCCAUGAACUCUGAGAAAGGGUCCAGCACCCUGCCUGACAUAGGUGUCCCAUAAAUACUUGCUGAAGGAAUGAAUGAUAACAAAUGAACCACAAUCCAGAGACAGCCAGAUUUGCCAUAUGGACAAUGUAAAACGGCUUCACAGCAUCUUGCCUUCUUGUGUGAAGAUCUCACGACACGCUUGCCACCCUCCCUGCUUUGUAACAGCAAGCUGGACUGCGGCCAUGGCAAAGAUGAAUCUGCCAUCUGCUGGGGUGAGGUGGUCAGAUAAUCAGAAUUCAAGAAUAGUCACCAGCAACUAAUAACUAAAAUCCAGAAUUAUACUUAAAACGUUAUCACGCAAGAAUGUUCUCUAUUAGAAAUAACGCCUCUAUCUAAUACAGGCCAAAUGCCCACCAAUCCCCCAUGAAACUUAAUAUUCAAGGGUCCCAACCAGAAGACCUGGACAUACG